This 1396-nucleotide ribosomal RNA is filed under the name uncultured bacterium. Its description in RNAcentral is "bacterial SSU rRNA". It matches the Rfam family "Bacterial small subunit ribosomal RNA". The record is from RNAcentral.
AGAGUUUGAUCCUGGCUCAGGAUGAACGCUAGCGGCAGGCUUAACACAUGCAAGUCGAGGGGCAGCAUAAUGGUAGUAAUACUAUUGAUGGCGACCGGCGGACGGGUGCGUAACGCGUAUGCAACCUACCCUUUACAGGGGGAUAACACUGAGAAAUCGGUACUAAUACCCCAUAAUAUUCUGGGAGGCAUCUUUCGGAGUUGAAAGCUUUGGUGGUAAAGGAUGGGCAUGCGUUGUAUUAGCUAGUUGGUAAGGUAACGGCUUACCAAGGCGACGAUACAUAGGGGGACUGAGAGGUUAACCCCCCACAUUGGUACUGAGACACGGACCAAACUCCUACGGGAGGCAGCAGUGAGGAAUAUUGGUCAAUGGACGGAAGUCUGAACCAGCCAUGCCGCGUGCAGGAAGACGGCUCUAUGAGUUGUAAACUGCUUUUGUACGAGGGUAAACGCAGAUACGUGUAUCUGCCUGAAAGUAUCGUACGAAUAAGGAUCGGCUAACUCCGUGCCAGCAGCCGCGGUAAUACGGAGGAUCCAAGCGUUAUCCGGAUUUAUUGGGCUUAAAGGGUGCGUAGGCGGUUUAGUAAGUCAGCGGUGAAAUUUUGGUGCUUAACACCAAACGUGCCGUUGAUACUGCUGGGCUAGAGAGUAGUUGCGGUAGGCGGAAUGUAUGGUGUAGCGGUGAAAUGCUUAGAUAUCACGAAGAACUCCGAUUGCGAAGGCAGCUCACUGGAGUGUAACUGACGCUGAUGCUCGAAAGUGUGGGUAUCAAACAGGAUUAGAUACCCUGGUAGUCCACACAGUAAACGAUGAAUACUCCGCUGUUUGCGAUAUACAGUAAGCGGCCAAGCGAAAGCAUUAAGUAUUCCACCUGGGGAGUACGCCGGCAACGGUGAAACUCAAAGGAAUUGACGGGGGCCCGCACAAGCGGAGGAACAUGUGGUUUAAUUCGAUGAUACGCGAGGAACCUUACCCGGGCUUAAAUUGCAAAUGAAUUAUGGGGAAACCCAUAGGCCGUAAGGCAUUUGUGAAGGUGCUGCAUGGUUGUCGUCAGCUCGUGCCGUGAGGUGUCGGCUUAAGUGCCAUAACGAGCGCAACCCUUAUCUUCAGUUACUAACAGGUCAUGCUGAGGACUCUGGAGAGACUGCCGUCGUAAGAUGUGAGGAAGGUGGGGAUGACGUCAAAUCAGCACGGCCCUUACGUCCGGGGCUACACACGUGUUACAAUGGGGGGUACAGAAGGCCGCUACCUGGUGACAGGAUGCCAAUCCCAAAAACCUCUCUCAGUUCGGAUCGAAGUCUGCAACCCGACUUCGUGAAGCUGGAUUCGCUAGUAAUCGCGCAUCAGCCAUGGCGCGGUGAAUACGUUCCCGGGCCUUGUACACACAGGCCGUCAAG